RNAcentral lists this transfer RNA (73 nucleotides) under Lawsonibacter asaccharolyticus. RNAcentral's name for it is "tRNA-Gln". It matches the Rfam family "tRNA". Rfam says of the family: Transfer RNA (tRNA) molecules are approximately 80 nucleotides in length. Their secondary structure includes four short double-helical elements and three loops (D, anti-codon, and T loops). Lineage: Bacteria; Bacillati; Bacillota; Clostridia; Eubacteriales; Oscillospiraceae. RNAcentral also lists the same sequence under 2 other names. The record is from RNAcentral.
UGGGGUGUCGCCAAAUGGUCAAGGCACCGGUCUCUGACACCGGCAUUUGUUGGUUCAAGUCCAGCCACCCCAG